UAAGCAAACUAUACCGUGAAACUGCGAAUGGCUCAUUAAAUCAGUUAUCGUUUAUUUGAUAGUACCUACUUACUUGGAUAACCGUGGUAAUUCUAGAGCUAAUACAUGCUAAAAACCUCGACUUCGGAAGGGGUGUAUUUAUUAGAUAAAAAACCAAUGCCCUUCGGGGCUCCCUGGUGAUUCAUAAUAACUAAACGAAUCGCAUGGCCUUGCGCCGGCGAUGGUUCAUUCAAAUUUCUGCCCUAUCAACUUUCGAUGGUAGGAUAGUGGCCUACCAUGGUGGCAACGGGUAACGGGGAAUUAGGGUUCUAUUCCGGAGAGGGAGCCUGAGAAACGGCUACCACAUCCAAGGAAGGCAGCAGGCGCGCAAAUUACCCAAUCCCGACACGGGGAGGUAGUGACAAUAAAUACUGAUGUGGAGCUCUUUAGGGUUUCACAAUUGGAAUGAGAAAAAUCUAAACCACUUAAACGAGGAACAAUUGGAGGGCAAGUCUGGUGCCAGCAGCCGCGGUAAUUCCAGCUCCAAUAGCGUAUAUUAAAGUUGUUGCAGUUAAAAAGCUCGUAGUUGAACCUUGGGCCUGGCCGUCCGGUCCGCCUCACCGCGUGCACUGGUUCGGCCGGGCCUUUCCUCCUGGGGAACCGCAUGCCCUUCACUGGGUGUGUCGGGGAAUCAGGACUUUUACUUUGAAAAAAUUAGAGUGUUCAAAGCAGGCAUUUGCUCGAAUACAUUAGCAUGGAAUAAUAGAAUAGGACGUUGUGGUUCUAUUUUGUUGGUUUCUAGGACCGCCGUAAUGAUAA
Molecule: ribosomal RNA, 798 nt
Filed under: Placopsis pruinosa
Lineage: Eukaryota; Fungi; Ascomycota; Lecanoromycetes; Trapeliales; Trapeliaceae
Description: SSU rRNA
Rfam family: Eukaryotic small subunit ribosomal RNA
Source: RNAcentral